This 450-nucleotide ribosomal RNA is filed under the name uncultured Gammaproteobacteria bacterium. RNAcentral describes it as "bacterial SSU rRNA". It matches the Rfam family "Bacterial small subunit ribosomal RNA", at positions 1079 to 1532 of the family's 1533-position model. Lineage: Bacteria; Pseudomonadati; Pseudomonadota; Gammaproteobacteria. The record is from RNAcentral.
GUGGUGUCGCACGAGCGCACCCUUAUCCUUAGUUGCCAGCACGUAAUGGUGGGAACUCUAAGGAGACUGCCGGUGACAAACCGGAGGAAGGUGGGGACGACGUCAAGUCAUCAUGGCCCUUACGAGAUGGGCUACACACGUGCUACAAUGGCAAGUACAAAGGGUUGCAAACUCGCGAGAGUAAGCGGAUCCCAUAAAGCUUGUCGUAGUCCGGAUUGGAGUCUGCAACUCGACUCCAUGAAGUCGGAAUCGCUAGUAAUCGUGGAUCAGAAUGCCACGGUGAAUACGUUCCCGGGCCUUGUACACACCGCCCGUCACACCAUGGGAGUGGGCUGCAAAAGAAGUGGAUAGCUUAACCUUCGGGAGGGCGUUCACCACUUUGUGGUUCAUGACUGGGGUGAAGUCGUAACAAGGUAGCCGUAGGGGAACCUGCGGCUGGAUCACCUCCUU